Molecule: non-coding RNA, 802 nt
Filed under: Perkinsus marinus ATCC 50983
Lineage: Eukaryota; Perkinsozoa; Perkinsida; Perkinsidae
Description: Eukaryotic large subunit ribosomal RNA
Rfam family: Eukaryotic large subunit ribosomal RNA
Source: Rfam by way of RNAcentral
ACAGGGAUCAGCUCAGUGCCAAAUCGGAAUCACUUGUGGUUCUGAAAUGUGGCUUGAAGGCAGUACCAGUGGCAUCGCGGACGAAAGUCUCUUGGAAAAGAGCGUCAUAGAGGGUGAGAAUCCCGUGAGUCGUUCGCCGUUUGUCACGUACGGUCUGCGUUCUAACGAGUCGCGUUCCUUGGGAUUGGAGCGUAAACGGGUGGUAAAUUUCAUCCAAAGCAAAAUAUAUACUCGAGACCGAUAGCACAAAAGUACCGUGAGGGAAAGGUGAAAAGAACUUUGAGAAGAGGGUUAAAUAGUGCCUGAAAUCGUUGAGAAGGAAGCGGAUGCCGCCGUUGCAUAUGCUGAUUGUAGGAUUGCUGCUCGCUCCUGUCUUCUGCUAUUCAUUCACAGACCUGGUCGUGUUGAGCAGUUGUUUGGCAGAUGUUAGUGGUGUUUCCUACUUUCAGUCGUCAGCAUCACUGGCUGAGUGGAAAUAAUCCUUGGAUGCUAAUUGGUUCGCUAUCUGUGAAUUGGUUGCUUCCUUGCGAUACUCACUACUCGGUCAGUGAGGAAGUGCGUUUGCUGGUCAACGAGCUUUCUAACUGUCAUUACCCUGCGCUUUUCGAUUCGUCGAGUGGCCAGGAUGUGGCUUUGAGAUUGUUCGCACUUAGUAAUCGCGAUGCUGGCUUCCAACGGUUGCCUCCGGCCCGUCUUGAAACACGGACCAAGGAGUCUAACGUAUGUGCGAGUGUGUGAGUGGCAAACUUAUACGCGUAAUGAAAGUGAGGCCGUAUGACCGUGUUGGGGUCACCAACAACCG